GACGAACGCUGGCGGCGUGCCUAAUACAUGCAAGUAGGACGCAGUUGCGAACGGGUGAGUAACGCGUAGGUAACUACCUAUUAGAGGGGGAUAACUAUUGGAAACGAUAGCUAAUACCGCCUACUAGUAGAUGGACCUGCGUUGUAUUAGCUAGUAGGUAGGGUAAUGGCCUACCUAGGCAACGAUACAUAGCCGGGCUGAGGGGGUGAUCGGGCAAACUGGGACUGGGAAACGGCCCAGACUCCGACGGGAGGCAGGAGUAGGGAAUCUUCGGCAAGUGGGGGAACCCUGACCGAGCAACGCCGGGGGAGUGAAGAAGGUUUUCGGAUCGGAAAGCUCUGUUGUGAAGGGAGCGGUACUUAACCAGAAAGGGACGGCUAACUACGUGCCAGCCGCCGCGGUAAUAC
RNAcentral lists this ribosomal RNA (407 nucleotides) under uncultured bacterium. Its description in RNAcentral is "partial 16S ribosomal RNA". It matches the Rfam family "Bacterial small subunit ribosomal RNA", at positions 28 to 526 of the family's 1533-position model. The record is from RNAcentral.